GAGUAUGGCCAAAUCACCCUGAACGUGCCUGAUCUCCUCAGAUCUCAGAAACUAAGCAGGGUUGGACCUAGUUAGUACUUGGAUGGGAGAAGUAGAAUAGUCCCUGUGAGAUAUAGAGAAAUAAAACAUA
Mesocricetus auratus (golden hamster) is the source of this 130-nucleotide ribosomal RNA. NCBI's taxonomy places the organism in Eukaryota, Metazoa, Chordata, Mammalia, Rodentia, Cricetidae. The record is from Ensembl.